UUCUAUAGGCAUACCUCCACAAAUGCAUUUGAUCUUGUCUGAUCUCAUAAGCUAAGCAGGGUUGGACCUGGUUAGUAGUUGGAUGAGAGACACGAGGCAGCAAGGUCUUGAGCAGAAA
RNAcentral lists this ribosomal RNA (118 nucleotides) under Ochotona princeps (American pika). Lineage: Eukaryota; Metazoa; Chordata; Mammalia; Lagomorpha; Ochotonidae. The record is from RNAcentral.